Molecule: unclassified non-coding RNA, 400 nt
Filed under: soil metagenome
Description: partial contains 5.8S ribosomal RNA, internal transcribed spacer 2, and large subunit ribosomal RNA
Rfam family: 5.8S ribosomal RNA (bases 1-122)
Source: RNAcentral
GAUGAAGAACGUAGCGAAAUGCGAUACUUGGUGUGAAUUGCAGAAUCCCGUGAACCAUCGAGUCUUUGAACGCAAGUUGCGCCUCAAGCCAUUAGGUUGAGGGCACGUCUGCCUGGGCGUCACAUAUCGUUGCCUGAUGCCAGUUUCCUCGUGAUGGGUGACUGUGCAGGGCGAAUGAUGGCUUCCCGUGAGCAUUGUUGCCUCAUGGUUGGUUGAAAAUUGAGUCCUUGGUAGGGAGCGCCGUGAUAGAUGGUGGUUGAGUGACGAACGAGACCCAAUCAUGUGAGACCCCUACCGAAUUUGGCCUUCAUGACCCACGUGCGUCUUUGGAACGCUCAUGACGAGACCUCAGGUCAGGCGGGGCUACCCGCUGAGUUUAAGCAUAUCAAUAAGCGGAGGA